RNAcentral lists this ribosomal RNA (253 nucleotides) under uncultured bacterium. Its description in RNAcentral is "partial 16S ribosomal RNA". It matches the Rfam family "Bacterial small subunit ribosomal RNA", at positions 524 to 776 of the family's 1533-position model. The record is from RNAcentral.
UACGUAGGGGGCAAGCGUUGUCCGGAAUCAUUGGGCGUAAAGAGCGUGUAGGCGGCCCGAUAAGUCCGCUCUGAAAGCCCGGGGCUCAACCCCGGGAGGCGGGCGGAUACUGUCGGGCUAGAGUCCGGAAGAGGCAAGUGGAAUUCCUGGUGUAGCGGUGAAAUGCGCAGAUAUCAGGAGGAACACCGAUGGCGAAGGCAGCUUGCUGGGACGGUACUGACGCUGAGACGCGAAAGCGUGGGGAGCAAACAGG